Molecule: long non-coding RNA, 684 nt
Filed under: Gallus gallus (chicken)
Lineage: Eukaryota; Metazoa; Chordata; Aves; Galliformes; Phasianidae
Source: RNAcentral
CAUCAUGCAUCAUACCUGCCUUCUAAAUGCAAAGACACAGGUAAAAUUAAGCAUACCUCUUUCAUUAACAGAUGGACCCCUUCAGGCUGAUUACUCUGAAUAAUUUCCAAGAGUAUUGGAGCAAAUGUUGAGCUCAAUCUGCUGAUCUGGACAACCCUCUGGUGGGUGGUGAGGACUGCAUCCACCUGCAUUUUGGAGCCUCGCUCUUCCAUGAACAGCACUUCGUUGGUUUUGGUGGGCAUCGCAUAGCUUUCAUUCACUCUAAUGGACAACUGGUUGCAGAGUUUAUGAACAUAUUGAGCGAAGUGCUCCACGAGACACAUAUCAUAGGAAGUCAUCUGGAUGUUAAUAUCUCCGUACUCAUGUUCAGUCCCAACAUUUAUCUCUUUCAUCUGUACUCUACCCCUUUUUCUCUUUGGAACCUCCUUUGGGAGCAAAUGUUUAUACUUCCCAAUGCCAUGUGUAGGACGGGAUCUGUAGUGUCUGUGGAAAUCCACAAGUGCAUCACCUGCAGCACACAGACAACUUUCUCUGGGUGUUGCUGCUCGGCUGAGAGCAAACACUUGCUUUAGCAAUGUUCCCUUUUUCAAGCACAGCACCACUGCGCUCAUCGCUCCGCAGGGCCACAGGGCCGCAGGGCCGCGUCCGCCGCUCACAGCGCUCCCCCGGCGGUGCACCCCCAAC